GAACGCUGGCGGCGUGCCUAAUACAUGCAAGUCGAGCGAACGGACGAGAAGCUUGCUUCUCUGAUGUUAGCGGCGGACGGGGGAGUAACACGUGGAUAACCUACCUAUAAGACUGGGAUAACUUCGGGAAACCGGAGCUAAUACCGGAUAAUAUUUUGAACCGCAUGGUUCAAAAGUGAAAGACGGUCUUGCUGUCACUUAUAGAUGGAUCCGCGCUGCAUUAGCUAGUUGGUAAGGUAACGGCUUACCAAGGCAACGAUGCAUAGCCGACCUGAGAGGGUGAUCGGCCACACUGGAACUGAGACACGGUCCAGACUCCUACGGGAGGCAGCAGUAGGGAAUCUUCCGCAAUGGGCGAAAGCCUGACGGAGCAACGCCGCGUGAGUGAUGAAGGUCUUCGGAUCGUAAAACUCUGUUAUUAGGGAAGAACAUAUGUGUAAGUAACUGUGCACAUCUUGACGGUACCUAAUCAGAAAGCCACGGCUAACUACGUG
This 494-nucleotide ribosomal RNA is filed under the name uncultured bacterium. RNAcentral describes it as "partial 16S ribosomal RNA". It matches the Rfam family "Bacterial small subunit ribosomal RNA", at positions 31 to 507 of the family's 1533-position model. The record is from RNAcentral.